CCCGUAACUUCGGGAGAAGGGGUGCUUUCUUAACGGAAAGCCGCAGUGAAUAGGCCCAAGCGACUGUUUAGCAAAAACACAGCUCUCUGCGAAGCCGUAAGGCGAAGUAUAGGGGGUGACACCUGCCCGGUGCUGGAAGGUUAAGGAGAGGGGUUAGCGUAAGCGAAGCUCUGAACUGAAGCCCCAGUAAACGGCGGCCGUAACUAUAACGGUCCUAAGGUAGCGAAAUUCCUUGUCGGGUAAGUUCCGACCCGCACGAAAGGUGUAACGAUUUGGGCACUGUCUCAACCAGAGACUCGGUGAAAUUAUAGUACCUGUGAAGAUGCAGGUUACCCGCGACAGGACGGAAAGACCCCGUGGAGCUUUACUGUAGCCUGAUAUUGAAUUUUGGUACAGUUUGUACAGGAUAGGCGGGAGCCUUUGAAACCGGAGCGCUAGCUUCGGUGGAGGCGCUGGUGGGAUACCGCCCUGACUGUAUUGAAAUUCUAACCUACGGGUCUUAUCGACCCGGGAGACAGUGUCAGGUGGGCAGUUUGACUGGGGCGGUCGCCUCCUAAAGUGUAACGGAGGCGCCCAAAGGUUCCCUCAGAAUGGUUGGAAAUCAUUCGUAGAGUGCAAAGGCAUAAGGGAGCUUGACUGCGAGACCUACAAGUCGAGCAGGGACGAAAGUCGGGCUUAGUGAUCCGGUGGUUCCGCAUGGAAGGGCCAUCGCUCAACGGAUAAAAGCUACCCCGGGGAUAACAGGCUUAUCUCCCCCAAGAGUCCACAUCGACGGGGAGGUUUGGCACCUCGAUGUCGGCUCAUCGCAUCCUGGGGCUGUAGUCGGUCCCAAGGGUUGGGCUGUUCGCCCAUUAAAGCGGUACGCGAGCUGGGUUCAGAACGUCGUGAGACAGUUCGGUCCCUAUCCGUCGUGGGCGUAGGAAAUUUGAGAGGAGCUGUCCUUAGUACGAGAGGACCGGGAUGGACGCACCGCUGGUGUACCAGUUGUUCUGCCAAGGGCAUAGCUGGGUAGCUAUGUGCGGAAGGGAUAAGUGCUGAAAGCAUCUAAGCAUGAAGCCCCCCUCAAGAUGAGAUUUCCCAUAGCGUAAGCUAGUAAGAUCCCUGAAAGAUGAUCAGGUUGAUAGGUUCGAGGUGGAAGCAUGGUGACAUGUGGAGCUGACGAAUACUAAUAGAUCGAGGACUUAACCAU
This 1189-nucleotide ribosomal RNA is filed under the name Bacillus anthracis str. Vollum. RNAcentral describes it as "bacterial LSU rRNA". It matches the Rfam family "Bacterial large subunit ribosomal RNA", at positions 1727 to 2925 of the family's 2925-position model. Lineage: Bacteria; Bacillati; Bacillota; Bacilli; Caryophanales; Bacillaceae. The record is from RNAcentral.